This 2648-nucleotide long non-coding RNA is filed under the name Sus scrofa (pig). RNAcentral's name for it is "lncRNA (ENSSSCG00015041183.1)". The record is from RNAcentral. Lineage: Eukaryota; Metazoa; Chordata; Mammalia; Artiodactyla; Suidae.
UUUUUUUUUUUUUUUUUUGUCUUUUUGCUAUUUCUUUGGGCCGUAUGGAGGUUCCCAGGCUAGGGCUCCGAUUCGACCCCUAGCCUGGGAACCUCCAUAUGCCACGGGAGCGGCCUAAGAAAUGGCAAAAAGCCAAAAAGCCAAAAAAAAAAAAAAAAAAAAACCAACUAUGCAGAAUGUUAUCCAUUCUUACCACCUCCAGUAUUGGCACCUUCAGCCAAACUAGCAUCCUCUCCUGUCUUAUUUUUAUAAUUGCCUCUUAACUCAUCUCCCUGCCACCCCAGCCCCAGUCUGUUCUCAGCAGAGCAGCUGUAGGGAUCCUACCAAGAUAUGUUGUAUUAUUCCCCAUCUGUCUCAUUUGGAGUAAGAGGUAGAGUCUGCUCUACCUAAAAGACCCCAUGUCCUACUCCCCUGCUGGGUCAGCCUCUCCAGCCACUCAGCCUCCUUGUACCUGCCUUAUUUUUCUCCACAACAUUUUCACUGUCUGACAAGCUGACAUAUGUAUUUUUCAUCUGAUACUCCCACUGGAAUGAGAGAGAUGUGAGAAUAGGGACUGUGUAUGUUGUUCAUUGCUGUACCCCUGGGGCUUAAAAUACCUCCUUAGACAUUACAGGCACUAAAUACAUGUUUGUUAAAGGGAAAAAAACUCCAUGAGGGGAGGAGUGGAGGAUGUUAGGAAAAAUAUGGACAGAGGUUCCUUAGGGCGAGGGACAGUCACAAAGAAAGGAUGACAAAUGGGGCCUUGGCCCAAGUUUUGAAAAAUUCGGACACAGCGAUCUAGGGGCAGCUUUCACUUUUGUCACUGUAUUGUUUUUUCCUUUUUUCCCACCAUGGGACAGUUGUAUCAUUUCAUCUGUGACAGCUACAUGUCAUGAAGCGAAACUUGGCUAAUUGGCUCUAACAGGGGGAAAGGCCCUUUGAAGGUCCUUGGGGGUUGAACCAGCAUCUCUCGAGUUCAUCUGCAUGGCUGAUACUCUAGUUGCUAGCGGGCACUGCAUUAGUCCUAGACCCACAGAAAGGAAACCCCUCCCACACGGGGUGUUGGACUCCUUCCGCAUCUGCAGCCCCAUCUGUGGGAUGCGGUCCUAGGGCAGCUUCUGAGAUGCCUUCCUUCAGCGGGCAUGUGGCAUUUCAGUCUCGGGGUUGACCAUGGCUUCAACCGCAGCAGGAUGUUUACCAUCUCUGGCUCCCAGAAUUGGUCUUGACACCAAAAGCGUUUUCCCACGCAUGCACACACCCCCAGAUUUGAGAACUAGGGUAUUGGAGAGGCUCUGAGGAGGCAAUCCAUGGAGCGACUCCAAAGUACCAUUGACUUAUGGCCAGAAGACAAUGCUCUGGAUGCUCUGGAUAUGUCGGGAUGCCUUUGGUGUGUUUUCUGAAACUCUGCUUGUGAUUAUUCACUGAGUGUUUGAUUUGGAGCCCACUUCUUUCUGAAAAGGGUUUGAGGUAGUUUUAUGUGUGUAUAUAUAACCCCCCACACAAAUAUACACUUAAAUUUAACAAAUGUGGGAAAAACUCCAGCCUGGGAGACCAGGAGUAUGCAGGUGAGUGAGUCCGGUGUGGAGGUGGAGGUAGGAUGAUCCCUACCAGGGAGGUGACCCCCCUCCACCAUGGUUGCAGCACUUUGCUUUAUCUCUAAUUUUUUCCUUUCGUCAUCGCUGGUUGUGUCUUUUGAAUUGAAAGAUCUAAGUAACUGAUUCUAUAGCAUCAUUGAAAAAGUGAAUCUAGGACUUUGAGUGGACAUUCUAGACGAUUCAUGUCUGUCUCCACCUCCAGCUGAGAGGCCAUGAACUGUGCCAAUUCAUCUACGUGCUCCGGUACCUGGAAGGCAGGAGGAGCCCCAUAAAUAUUUUAUUGAGUAAAUGAAUGGUAUUACAGUUCUCCUUACUGGAAAGGAAGAAGCCAGUCCAUUGUUUGAGGGAGAGUUGUUGAUUUUUUUUUUCCCCCCAAAAACAAUUCUGUUGAGAGUUCUCCCAAGUGGACACUUAUAUCAAGGAUGUUGAAUGUUGUCCUGGAUCUUGUUCUCAAGGAAACUCUGGAGAAACUUCAGCUGCAGGAGGGUUCAUUAGGCCUUUCCUUGCAGAGGGAAAGUUGCAGGCAGGGCAGUUGAAUGGGGGAGUGCUUCAGAUGCCCCAGCGAUGUAGUCCAGGUGUGUACCUUCCACUCAUCUCACCUGACCCAAGAAGGAUGCUUUAGACCCUCAGCGCAUGUGGAGAACAGCCCCUCAAUGUUACUGCUUCCUGGGCAGCAGUGGGUACAUGGGAGGUGGUUGGGUUUGAAGUUGUAUUAAUAUAGUAGUAAAAAGCAGGGACCUUGUAUAGAAUUAUACAUAAAUGGAUACACCGAAAAAGUCUUUGCAAAAAUGCAUGAAACCCACAUAAUUUCUGUAGACCAAUUAAGUGUAUCAUGCCUGCAUCAAUGUCCUGGUUUUAAUAAAGUAUUAGAGUUAUUAAGUUACUUAAUUGAUCUCUGGCCUCCCUUAGUGGGUUAAGGGUCCAGCAUUGCCACAGGCUGUGGUGUAGGACGCAUAUGCAGCUUGGAUCCUGUGUUUCUGUGGCUGUGGGAUAGGCCUCAGCUGCAACUCCAGUUCAACCCCUAGCCUGGGAACUUCCAUGUGCCUCAGGUGCAGACCUAAAAAAAAAAAAAAA